AUGCACAGAGACAGUCCCACUUUCUCGGCAUUGGAAGCCUGGGUCCAUUGGUAUGAAAAAUCAUUACACCUGGAGACUUCCUCAGCUGCAUUGGAUGGCCGUGUUGUCUUUUGUGCUCCAACACGCCCUAAGCACUCCACAGUGCUUUGCUGUGUCGCCAUCUCAGCCGUUGAACCUUCUUAUUGGUUUCUUCCGUCUGUUCAACUGAAACAGUCUUCACAUGCUGGCUGCAUGGAACACUGAGAAGUUAAAUUUCUGACCUGACCCAGAGCCUCAAAGCCAAUAGGUGUCUGAAGCAGGAUUAUAAACCAUGUCUUCCUAAUUCCAAAGCCAACUAUCUAUCUGUCCACUAAACAAGUUGUGUGUGUGUGUGUGUGUGUGUGUGUGUGUGUGUGCUUGUGCAUGCAUGAGCAUGUAUAUGUCUAUUGAGUAGAAAAUAAUUAAGUAAUCAGUCUCCACUAAUAAGGAAAUGUCUGCCUAAAUUGACUUUGAGCCGGAGCUACAUUGAAAAGCACUCCUUAAAAGCCUAUUUCAAAAAAGGCUCUUCCAGCAACCUUUACAAAUGUACCUUUAGAAAGCGUUACUUUACCAGCUUCUUUGGAGAAACUUUGAAAAGAAAGAAUUUUGAUGUGAUAUAGAGGUACUAAAGAGUAGAAAAAGCUGUUCAAAUUGGACUUUGAGCAAGGUAGGGCAGGACAGAGAAAGGGGAAGGAGGGAAGAGCAAAUACUUAUUAUAUGCCAACUAUAUGCCAAGUCUUAUGCUAAGUACUUUAUAAAUAUCUCAUCUCUUCCCUCAGGCUCUUUGGAACAUGAAGGGAGUACUGAAAGUAUCUUCUAAAGAUAACCCAGACCACACUACAGUAUGGUCUCAACUAACUCCAAACUUGGGCUUGAUGGGGAUUGUUGCUCUAUCAGUGAGGGAAGGAACAGAUAAGCAACUAUGAUCAUGCUAUGGGUUAGUCUACUGAAGGAAAAAAGAAACCUCAUGAGAAAUCGAGAGAUGGAUACCCAUGGAAAGAGUAAAGAAUAGUUCUUCAGAAUGAGGCACAAAAUUACAAGUCUAAAAGAUGUCUUGGGCUUUGAUAUCAUCAACUGAGGACUCAAAACCAAUCGACUAUUUUGUAAUUCAUUCCUAAGGAGAGUUGAGGCAGCUGGUAGCUAAGUGAAUCGAUUGCUAAGUCUAGCAUUAAGAAGCUCAAAUCCAGGCUCAUAUAUGUGCUAGUUAUGUGAUCCUAUAUAAAUAACUGCUUGCCUCAGUUUCCCCAAGUGUAAAAUGAAAAUAAAAGUGCCUAUAUCAUGAGAUGGUUUUGAAAA
RNAcentral lists this long non-coding RNA (1314 nucleotides) under Monodelphis domestica (gray short-tailed opossum). Its description in RNAcentral is "lncRNA (ENSMODG00000049010.1)". Lineage: Eukaryota; Metazoa; Chordata; Mammalia; Didelphimorphia; Didelphidae. The record is from RNAcentral.